UUUUGUUCAAUAUUUUAUAUUAUAAAAUGUGUGGUUAAAAGAAACAACUUCUUUUUAAAAAUCUUUUGUUGACCAUAUAGUUUUAUAAAACCAUCAUAAAACAUCAAUUUCUCUUUCUGUAGGCUAUAGAAUGUUACUGUGGUGGAGAUAGGAAUCUAAGAUAUGCAAAGGAUUAAAAGAUGGACAAGCCACUGUAAUUGUAGAAUGAUGCAGAGACAAAUGAACCAGUGCUCCGGAAAUAUCCAUAGUGAUCCCAAAUUUUGGAGCUUAAUUUACUAAAAAUCUACACAACAAGACUCAGUGUCAGUGGACAAAUGUGGACGUAAAAACUAUUUGAAUAAAUCCUACAUCUGGUUGGCUGUUUACUCCCUCAUAUACUUACACACCCAGAGAAUCAACUCCACUUCCAAAAUGGAAAAGUCUGCUGGGGGCUAAGCUUAUUUUGGCUCGUUUUUCAGCGUGAAACG
Long non-coding RNA from Rhinichthys klamathensis goyatoka, 467 nucleotides. RefSeq lists it as uncharacterized. The transcript has 3 exons. Lineage: Eukaryota; Metazoa; Chordata; Actinopteri; Cypriniformes; Leuciscidae. The record is from RefSeq and is a predicted model, not a curated record.